UGGAAUCGCUAGUAAUCGCGGAUCAGAAUGCCGCGGUGAAUACGUUCCCGGGUCUUGUACACACCGCCCGUCACACCAUGGGAGUCGGAAAUGCCCGAAGUCUGUGACCCAACCGAAAGGAGGGAGCAGCCGAAGGCAGGUCGGAUGACUGGGGUGAAGUCGUAACAAGGUAGC
This 174-nucleotide ribosomal RNA is filed under the name uncultured bacterium. RNAcentral describes it as "partial 16S ribosomal RNA". It matches the Rfam family "Bacterial small subunit ribosomal RNA", at positions 1327 to 1500 of the family's 1533-position model. The record is from RNAcentral.